Molecule: ribosomal RNA, 1327 nt
Filed under: Azotobacter vinelandii
Lineage: Bacteria; Pseudomonadati; Pseudomonadota; Gammaproteobacteria; Pseudomonadales; Pseudomonadaceae
Description: bacterial SSU rRNA
Rfam family: Bacterial small subunit ribosomal RNA
Source: RNAcentral
CGAGUGGCGGACGGGUGAGUAAUGUCUGGGAAACUGCCUGAUGGAGGGGGAUAACUACUGGAAACUCGCGCUAAUACCGCAUACGUCCUACGGGAGAAAGUGGGGGACCCUCGGGCCUCACGCUAACAGAUGAGCCUAGGUCGGAUUAGCUAGUUGGUGGGGUAAAGGCCCACCAAGGCGACGAUCCCUAGCUGGUCUGAGAGGAUGACCAGCCACACUGGAACUGAGACACGGUCCAGACUCCUACGGGAGGCAGCAGUGGGGAAUAUUGCACAAUGGGCGCAAGCCUGAUGCAGCCAUGCCGCGUGUGUGAAGAAGGUCUUCGGAUUGUAAAGCACUUUAAGUUGGGAGGAAGGGCGCUCGGUGAAUACCCAAGCGUCUUGACGUUACCGACAGAAUAAGCACCGGCUAACUUCGUGCCAGCAGCCGCGGUAAUACGGAGGGUGCAAGCGUUAAUCGGAAUUACUGGGCGUAAAGCGCGCGUAGGUGGUUCGGCAAGUUGGAUGUGAAAGCCCCGGGCUCAACCUGGGAACCGCAUCCAAAACUACUGGGCUAGAGUACGGUAGAGGGGGGUAGAAUUCCAGGUGUAGCGGUGAAAUGCGUAGAGAUCUGGAGGAAAUACCGGUGGCGAAGCGACCCCCUGGACAAAGACUGACGCUCAGGUGCGAAAGCGUGGGGAGCAAACAGGAUAGAUACCCUGGUAGUCACGCCGUAAACGAUGUCGACUAGCCGUUGGGCUCCUUGAGAGCUUAGUGGCGCAGCUAACGCAUUAAGUCGACCGCCUGGGGAGUACGGCCGCAAGGUUAAAACUCAAAUGAAUUGACGGGGGCCCGCACAAGCGGUGGAGCAUGUGGUUUAAUUCGAUGCAACGCGAAGAACCUUACCUGGUCUUGACAUCCUGCGAACUUUCAAGAGAUUGAUGGGUGCCUUCGGGAGCGCAGAGACAGGUGCUGCAUGGCUGUCGUCAGCUCGUGUUGUGAAAUGUUGGGUUAAGUCCCGCAACGAGCGCAACCCUUGUCCUUAGUUACCAGCGAUUCGGUCGGGCACUCUAAGGAGACUGCCGGUGACAAACUGGAGGAAGGUGGGGAUGACGUCAAGUCAUCAUGGCCCUUACGACCAGGGCUACACACGUGCUACAAUGGUCGGUACAAAGGGUUGCCAAGUCGCGAGGCGGAGCUAAUCCCAGAAAACCGAUCGUAGUCCGGAUCGCAGUCUGCAACUCGACUGCGUGAAGUCGGAAUCGCUAGUAAUCGUGGAUCAGAAUGCCACGGUGAAUACGUUCCCGGGCCUUGUACACACCGCCCGUCACACCAUGGGAGUGGGUUGC